AUUGAACGCUGGCGGCAGGCCUAACACAUGCAAGUCGAACGAGUGGCGGACGGGUGAGUAAUGUCUGGGAAAAUGCCCGAUGGAGGGGGAUAACUACUGGAAACGGUAGCUAAUACCGCAUACCAUCGGUUGGGCCCAGAUGGGAUUAGCUAGUAGGGGGGGUAAAGGCUCACCUAGGCGACACUCCCUAGCUGGUCUGAGAGGAUGACCGGCCACACUGGAACUGAGACACGGUCCAGACUCCUACGGGAGGCAGCAGUGGGGAAUAUUGCACAAUGGGCGCAAGCCUGAUGCAGCCAUGCCGCGUGUAUGAAGAAGGCCUUCGGGUUGUAAAGUACUUUCAGCGAGGAGGCGUUACUCGCAGAAGAAGCACCGGCUAACUCCGUGCCAGCCGCCGCGGUAAUAC
Molecule: ribosomal RNA, 406 nt
Filed under: uncultured bacterium
Lineage: Bacteria
Description: partial 16S ribosomal RNA
Rfam family: Bacterial small subunit ribosomal RNA
Source: RNAcentral